Non-coding RNA from Lonchura striata (white-rumped munia), 118 nucleotides. Lineage: Eukaryota; Metazoa; Chordata; Aves; Passeriformes; Estrildidae. The record is from Rfam.
UUUGGUUCUUGGCAUUUUGGCUAAGAUCAAGUGUAGCAUCUGUUCUUAUCAGUUUAAUAUCUGAUACGUCUUCGAUGAAAGGACUUCAUAUUAAACUGAUUUUUUUUGGUGGGUUUUU